AGAAUCAACGCUGGCGGCGUGCCUAACACAUGCAAGUCGAACGAGAAAGGGGAGCAAUCCCUGAGUACAGUGGCGACCGGGUGAGUAACACGUGACUAACCUACCCUCGAGUGUGGAAUAACAUCGGGAAACCGAUGCUAAUACCGCAUAACAUCGCAAGAUCAAAGGAGUAAUCCGCUUGAGGAGGGGGUCGCGGCUGAUUAGCUAGUUGGCGGGGUAAUGGCCCACCAAGGCGAAGAUCGGUAUCCGGCCUGAGAGGGCGCACGGACACACUGGAACUGAAACACGGUCCAGACUCCUACGGGAGGCAGCAGUGGGAAUUUUGCGCAAUGGGGGAAACCCUGACGCAGCAACGCCGCGUGGAGGAGUGAAGCCCCUUGGGGCGUAAAACUCCUUUCGACCAAGACGAUAAUGACGGUACUGGUGGAAGAAGCACCGGCUAACUCUGCGCCAGCAGCCGC
RNAcentral lists this ribosomal RNA (461 nucleotides) under uncultured bacterium. RNAcentral describes it as "SSU rRNA". It matches the Rfam family "Bacterial small subunit ribosomal RNA", at positions 26 to 518 of the family's 1533-position model. The record is from RNAcentral.